RNAcentral lists this ribosomal RNA (897 nucleotides) under Juxtiphoma eupyrena. RNAcentral describes it as "SSU rRNA". It matches the Rfam family "Eukaryotic small subunit ribosomal RNA", at positions 77 to 982 of the family's 1831-position model. The record is from RNAcentral. Lineage: Eukaryota; Fungi; Ascomycota; Dothideomycetes; Pleosporales; Didymellaceae.
UACCGUGAAACUGCGAAUGGCUCAUUAAAUCAGUUAUCGUUUAUUUGAUAGUACCUUACUACUUGGAUAACCGUGGUAAUUCUAGAGCUAAUACAUGCUGAAAACCCCAACUUCGGGAGGGGUGUAUUUAUUAGAUAAAAAACCAACGCCCUUCGGGGCUUCUUGGUGAUUCAUGAUAACUUCACGGAUCGCAUGGCCUUGCGCCGGCGACGGUUCAUUCAAAUUUCUGCCCUAUCAACUUUCGAUGGUAAGGUAUUGGCUUACCAUGGUUUCAACGGGUAACGGGGAAUUAGGGUUCGAUUCCGGAGAGGGAGCCUGAGAAACGGCUACCACAUCCAAGGAAGGCAGCAGGCGCGCAAAUUACCCAAUCCCGACACGGGGAGGUAGUGACAAUAAAUACUGAUACAGGGCUCUUUUGGGUCUUGUAAUUGGAAUGAGUACAAUUUAAACCUCUUAACGAGGAACAAUUGGAGGGCAAGUCUGGUGCCAGCAGCCGCGGUAAUUCCAGCUCCAAUAGCGUAUAUUAAAGUUGUUGCAGUUAAAAAGCUCGUAGUUGAAACUUGGGCCUGGCUGGCAGGUCCGCCUCACCGCGUGUACUUGUCCGGCCGGGCCUUUCCUUCUGGAGAACCUCAUGCCCUUCACUGGGUGUGUUGGGGAACCAGGACUUUUACUUUGAAAAAAUUAGAGUGUUCAAAGCAGGCCUUUGCUCGAAUACGUUAGCAUGGAAUAAUAGAAUAGGACGUGCGGUCCUAUUUUGUUGGUUUCUAGGACCGCCGUAAUGAUUAAUAGGGACAGUCGGGGGCAUCAGUAUUCAAUUGUCAGAGGUGAAAUUCUUGGAUUUAUUGAAGACUAACUACUGCGAAAGCAUUUGCCAAGGAUGUUUUCAUUAAUCAGUGA